This 199-nucleotide long non-coding RNA is filed under the name Olea europaea (common olive). RNAcentral's name for it is "long non-coding RNA (OEUR_LNC012642)". The record is from RNAcentral. Lineage: Eukaryota; Viridiplantae; Streptophyta; Magnoliopsida; Lamiales; Oleaceae.
CCAGCUCACUCUCCAGUCUCCCCACUGCUCACUCUCCCCACUGCCCAGCGACCGCCGACCAGUGUGCAGUCCCCGGCCAAACAGCAGCGGCGCAGGCGGCAAUCGUGAAGGGCGAAGCGUUCCUUUUCCAAUUUCCACCGAUUUCUGCAGUCAGCACUUGCUGCACUUCCACUUUCGGCUUUCGGUCGGUAAGUUAAUU